RNAcentral lists this long non-coding RNA (406 nucleotides) under Cricetulus griseus (Chinese hamster). Its description in RNAcentral is "lncRNA (ENSCGRG00015031221.1)". The record is from RNAcentral. Lineage: Eukaryota; Metazoa; Chordata; Mammalia; Rodentia; Cricetidae.
AUGGGAACCUAUUUCCUGGACCUCACUGAUUUAGCUAAACUGGACUGAAUUGUGGACCUUAGAGGAACUCUGGUUGCAGUGCUUGUGAGGCAAAUGGUCUCUCACUGAGCCUGGUGGAGCUGGACAGCACACCCUGAGGUCUCCUGUCUCCACCUUCCCAGCUCUGGGGAUGCAGCAUCCCAGCCUAUGGAAUGUUGCACACCAUAAUUGAGGUGAGUUUUCCUACUGCAGUUAAUUUAUAUUAUGCACCCCCUCAUAGGCAUUCCAUGAGUCUUGUCUCCUAGAUAAUUGUAGAUUCUGUCACAUUGACCAUACAUAUUAAUCAUCACAUUCUCUUCCUGUCUUGGUACUUUAAGGUCAUUAAAAGAACAAAAACAAAGAACCCCUUAAUCUUUAUGAAAGGCCC